CCCCAACGCGUGCCGUGGAGGCCGCCUCUCCUGCGCCGCCGGGGCGUCGCCCCGCCCUUCUGGACAGAUUGCUCCGGGCGACUAUUGUGUUGACCAGUUUGAUUAUAUGAUGGUGAAAACUCGAACACCUUUCUGAAGAUUUAUUCUUCAUACAUUCAAUGCAUUUGCUGGUUCAGACUUCAAACUGAUGUGGACACAACGAUGUCUAAGAUCCGCUCAAUUUUUCUGCUUCAAAUUGAAACAGAUUUAAUGUAUUCAGUAUAUGUUCAUUUUCUUCACAGGAGCUGUUUGCUUGACCUUGUGCACGGUACCAAAAAGCUGCAGCAGCAGAAUUUUUCGUCCGAGGAAAUCAAUACACUUGAGAAGAACUUCUGACAUAUUUCUUUCAGGUAAAGCAUUACUAAUAUGUUAAGUACACAAGUGAAGUUUG
Molecule: long non-coding RNA, 430 nt
Filed under: Triticum aestivum (bread wheat)
Lineage: Eukaryota; Viridiplantae; Streptophyta; Magnoliopsida; Poales; Poaceae
Description: long non-coding RNA (TAES_LNC020430)
Source: RNAcentral